This 466-nucleotide ribosomal RNA is filed under the name Vreelandella stevensii. Its description in RNAcentral is "partial 16S ribosomal RNA". It matches the Rfam family "Bacterial small subunit ribosomal RNA", at positions 338 to 795 of the family's 1533-position model. The record is from RNAcentral. Lineage: Bacteria; Pseudomonadati; Pseudomonadota; Gammaproteobacteria; Oceanospirillales; Halomonadaceae.
CCUACGGGCGGGCAGCAGUGGGGAAUAUUGGACAAUGGGGGGAACCCUGAUCCAGCCAUGCCGCGUGUGUGAAGAAGGCCCUCGGGUUGUAAAGCACUUUCAGUGAGGAAGAACGCCUGGUGGUUAAUACCCAUCAGGAAAGACAUCACUCACAGAAGAAGCACCGGCUAACUCCGUGCCAGCAGCCGCGGUAAUACGGAGGGUGCGAGCGUUAAUCGGAAUUACUGGGCGUAAAGCGCGCGUAGGUGGCUUGAUAAGCCGGUUGUGAAAGCCCCGGGCUCAACCUGGGAACGGCAUCCGGAACUGUCAAGCUAGAGUGCAGGAGAGGAAGGUAGAAUUCCCGGUGUAGCGGUGAAAUGCGUAGAGAUCGGGAGGAAUACCAGUGGCGAAGGCGGCCUUCUGGACUGACACUGACACUGAGGUGCGAAAGCGUGGGUAGCAAACAGGAUUAGAUACCCGUGUAGUC